Long non-coding RNA from Lynx canadensis (Canada lynx), 1366 nucleotides. RefSeq lists it as uncharacterized. The transcript has 3 exons. Lineage: Eukaryota; Metazoa; Chordata; Mammalia; Carnivora; Felidae. The record is from RefSeq and is a predicted model, not a curated record.
GCCUCCUCUCCGAUCCUAGUAUCGGACAAAGUAGUAAUUCACUCUCCUCUUCUUCCUGAGAAUUGAGCUGAUCAUAGUAGCACGUUUCUUAGCCUUUCUGUUCUCUUCACUGGAAAAAAGGGGGUUGUGACAUCGCCCCCUCCUAGGUUACCCGGAUGAUUCGAGAGCUAACUCAGGCCAAGUGCUUAGCUCACUCGGCUCACGGCCCCUUCCCGGUGUAGACCUGCUGACAAUUCCAGCCCUUCUCACACCAUUUCAUCAUUGAGCUCUUUUUCCCCUUGGGAACUUCAGAUACCGAAGCGCUUACCACGUGCCUUGGGAAGAUUCUGCGCUCAGGUUAGGGGCCUAGGGAACUGUUGAGCGGCAAGGCUGGUGACACUACACUUGGGAGGCACAGAGCAGACAGAAGAAUUUCGAAAGACGGCGGUAGCACCUGCUGGCCUCCCUCGUUCCCUGCUGCCCUACAGGACCCUGACUUAUUUCUAACUUCCAAGGCACUGAGUGAAACCGGGCUGGCCCAUCACCACCCUGGGCACCGUGAGGAGACAAAGGAGCACUCGCCUCCGGGAGAGGAUGCCAUAGCCGCGGGCGCACCGGGGGCCACCUACGACGCGCAGAGCAAAGCUCCGGGUUCGAGGCCCAGCAGACACACAGCCCAGCUUACGUCUGUCGAGGCCACUUGAGGGAUUCUUCCAGAGACUGCCAGCCGUGCCCACUGCCUUGGGAUCGAGUCCGGCUACACGGCGGCUCCAAACACCGUUGCCCAGAUCUUUUAACCCCAUCCACAGGCACAGUCAGGCUGGCAGCCUGGCCCGGGAACGCUGUUUCAACGUCGGCCACCUCACGGCCCCGACGGUGGUUUUCCUUCGUCGUGAUCCACUCGCAAAGGCUCCUCUCCUUUCCCUGGUCAGUGGGGCUGCCUGGACCCUCCUGAAGGAAGGCGACCUUCUGAGGUGUCCCCUCAGAGGCCCCUCAAACAGGGCCCCUCAGAGGCUCCAAAGGGGUUUUCCUUGGCAAGCCCCCUAAUGGGUUCCAAGAUGGCUUCCCCUGGUGGCUCCCAAGAACGUCUGCCAAGAGGAAAGAAAACAAAUACAAUCUUUGGGGCAACUUCCCACUUCAGGAGCAAAGUUUAGAACACCGUAGGUUUGUCUCUGCUUUACCUCCUGCCUCCCUUCCAUCCAUGUCACCCUCCCCGCCCCACCCAGGCAGCUCUCUUCCUGCCAUAUCUCCUUGCCACCCCCCUACCCUCCACUCAUCUCUCCCCAUCUCUCCUUAAGCCCCUACAUUUCUCCUCCAAGUCUACCUUGGUUUCCCCUCUCCAUGGCCAUCCUCCCACUUGGCCUUAUAUCUCCUUUAAAAUUUUCAU